RNAcentral lists this ribosomal RNA (79 nucleotides) under Vibrio vulnificus. Lineage: Bacteria; Pseudomonadati; Pseudomonadota; Gammaproteobacteria; Vibrionales; Vibrionaceae. The record is from RNAcentral.
CUUGGCGACCAUAGCGUUUUGGACCCACCUGAACCCAUUCCGAACUCAGAAGUGAAACGAAAUAGCGUCGAUGGUAGUG